UUGAAAACCCUGUUACUGAGAGACACAAGCUAUUCAUCGAGUAUUUUCAGACAUUGAUUCAGUUCUUAAUACAGUGAAGAGAUCCCUUCUUUUUCCUCCUCUAUUUACUGUGUUUAUGCUUUCAUACUCAAUUAUGUUGUUUGCUUCAAUCAGUAUGUCUGAGUAAUCUGCUUGUUAGAAAUAGGGUUUCUCAUUAGGGAUUCAUAUGGUUUAGUAGAUUGCCCCCUUGCUAGGUUAUCUGUAGAAUUCUGCAUCUUUAAUUAUGCUUAAUGCUAGAUCUAGAGUAAUUAACUAGAUCUUGAAUCCAGACAAUAGAUAUGCUGAUAGUAGGAUUUUUCACAGGUGUUUAAAUCCAGGUGAUCAAUUCCCUAACACUAUCAUGUCAUUGUAGUAUUUAGGGUGUCAAUCCAAUUAGGUGAGUUUGCUAUCAAUCAAGAUGCAAUCAGCAUGUACUAAGUCAAGCCAAGUCUAGAUGAUUUGAGUUAUCUAACAACCUAAGUAAUUAUGCAAGAAACUAACUAUACUAAGCAGAAAAUAAAGAACAUGAGUGAUAAAAGCAAGAAGUAAACUACAGACCAGGAACUCUCAAUGCAUAAACUUAAACAAUGAACUAAGUAGAGGAAAGUAAAGAUGCUCGACCGAGUAUGAACAUGCAGGUCGAGUAAACAUGUCGAGUAACAAAGUCGAGCAGAAUAACAAAGCAGAACGAGCAGAUAAACUAAACUGAACGAGCAGAAGAGUAAAUAACACGAAACUCAAUAAAUCUAAGCGCAACAGAGCUCUUAAGAAUGGGGUAAUUGGUUCUAGUGGACUCCUCAAUCCAUUUAGCUAACUAACAAACUCAAUCAAGCUAUCCCUAGACAAUAGAUUCAAAACCAAAUCAAUCCACUUCCGUGCGAAUGAUUCUCAUAACUUUAGAACUUCCUAAUCUCAAUUUCCAUUGAUGAAACAUAAUAAAGCAGGCUUUAAACACCAAUCUAUUAAAGUCAAUAAGCAGUCUAAACAUCCAAUGUCUUGGGCUAGAAUCUACAAAUCUCUGAAAUUAGUUGGUUUAGACAUUUCAUCAAACACCUUUUGGGUGGAGAAAGUCUGAAAUCAAUUUUCAAUUGAUCUGAAAGAAAAUAGCAUUAAGAACUCCUAAAACAGAAGGGAAUCAUGCAUUUAUAAACUUAGCUAGCUAAAGAGAAGAGGAAUCCACCUAAACCUAACCCAUCCUCAAGAACUCUGAAGAACACUACUCAUGAACUAUGAAGAACAUCAUACAAAACCCAGAAAAAUCAUAAAACCCAGAAAUCAUUAUAAACUUAGUAUGCAAUAGAUCUAAACAAGAUAAACAACUUUGUAGAAGAAAAUAAUUGCAAAAACUUAAAGAUUCAACAGGAAAUUAAAGGAACAUAUUUAGGGUUUUUCACCAAAGAGGCUAGAACAAAAGGAAUAAAAGAGGAAUAUCCAUUAGGUAAACGGAAGGGGUCUAUUUAUAGCAAAUACUAGGUUGCCCUAAUUCGCUAGAAGACAAAAUAAGAAAGUCGGCGCAGGACCGCUCGGCCCUAGGCCGAGUAGAAAAGCCGAGUGGCUUGGUCUUAGUCACAUCGCUCGGCUCUUGGCCGAGUGGCUUGGUCGAGUAGGUGCAAAUCUUCAAGAUUCACUUUUUCUUCACUUACUCGACAUGCACAUCGAGUAUAAAGGUCGAGUAUACUUCAAAUUCUUCCUUAGGUCCUCCGGACUCGAGUCUGUCCAUCCCUUGUGGUAGAAACCUCCAAGUUGAGUCCAAAAGUAUCUAAUUCACCUGCAAAACACUCCAAAUGCAAGUAUGUUAUGCAAUGCAAUGCAAAAUGUGCAAAAGAAGGAAAAGAGACUAAGAAUGCAUGAAAAGAGACUUGAAACUAAGCUAAAUGCAUGAAAAACAAGGGCUUUAAAAGGUUAAAAUCUAGUGUUAUCAUAUGCCCGCCAUAGGUAUCUGUAGUUGGAUCUAAAACAAGGACUUUAGCCAUCUUCUUCACAACACAACCUAAUCUUUCACUUAGUCUAUUCAAGCAUUCAAAUCAGCAUAUUCCCUUUAACAUUCAUUAAGCAAGAACCAUGGAUCAUACUAUACAAUGCAUAUUAAACUCAUUUGGCUAAGGGCAAAGGGUCAAAAGACAAAAAGGUCCCUUAAAGAAUAGGCUUUAGUAACAAGGGAUCUCUCAAGAAUGAUUAAGCUUUAGUAGAAUGCUAAAGGUAAGUCCCAAGUUAUGCAUACAUAGAUAAGAUCCCAUCUACCCAAAGUAUAAUCAAUGAAGACCUAAUGGCAAUCCCAUCUCCCAUCCUAAUUAAGAACUUGACUCUACCCUUUUGCAUUCAUAAUCUUUUGAACUCUUUCUUAACCCAUUCUUUUCUUUUUUUCUUAACUCUAGGAGAAGCUUUUCUUUUCUCUUUGAUACUUCUAGCGGGUUUGGCUUUCUUUAGUACUAAGGUUCUGUUUUUGAUCUCUAUUAAGCUUAGGGCUUUUUACCCUUCUUUAUUAGCUAACAAUAACCCAAUCUCUUUCUUUAACAAUCUCAAACCCUUUACUAGACUUUUUCUAACUUCUUUAGCUUACUUCUCCUAGAAUUCUUUUCCCUUUUCUUGUAAACAAUGAACUCAAUCCUUUUUCUCUUUUAAACUCUUCCCAACCCAUAGAACAAGUACCCACCUAGUCCUAUCUAGUUCGGAUAACGCGAACUAGAACUACAUGAGAUACUAUCUUUGUCGUUAU
RNAcentral lists this small RNA (2734 nucleotides) under Arabidopsis thaliana (thale cress). Its description in RNAcentral is "ATSL091260". Lineage: Eukaryota; Viridiplantae; Streptophyta; Magnoliopsida; Brassicales; Brassicaceae. The record is from RNAcentral.